Molecule: long non-coding RNA, 1119 nt
Organism: Gasterosteus aculeatus aculeatus (three-spined stickleback)
Lineage: Eukaryota; Metazoa; Chordata; Actinopteri; Perciformes; Gasterosteidae
Source: Ensembl
CGUGUCUUCCGAGAGCGCGCUCGCGUGGGAGCACACAACGCGCAUGAUGCCACUCUCAGGUAACGGAUACAGGGAGGAUUCUGGGAACUGCCAACCCGCUCUUAUACGCACGCGGAGCGGGAGAGAGAGGGACAGAGAGAGAGAAGGUGACUUGCAAGCUAAUGAAAUUCAUUGAGAAUGUGCGCCAGGGAAAUUAUUAAAAAUGCGUCGGACAGAUGUCUUCACUAAUGAUCGUGCUGAAAACACACACGUGUGUCGUCUACAGACUUUUAAAUUCUGUGUAUUUUUGCCGCGCGUGUGUUUUGUUGCACAUAUUGCAAAGGGAUGCAGUAUCGUUCAGUGGUUGAGAAAAUGGGGAAAACAGUAAACGUUAAAUGCAGACACUUAAUAAAUGAUUUAUAACAACAAAAACAAAAUGUGUAUGUUUAUAUAUGUAAGUUUUAUUUUUCAACAAUUAUAACUUCUCCUUUUUGAAGAUUUAUUCAUUAUUACGGUUUUAUAUACACUUUCAUUCAUAAUUUUAUUACAAACUUGUAUCCAUCCAAACCCCAUGUUGAAUGUUUUAAAUACAACUCAAUGCAAGAUCCAACAAAAAGUUAUGACUCUGAGAUAUUUAAUAUUUAAUGUAAAACUGAGAAAAGUGGAAGAUUUCUACAUUUGAGAAGCUGAAACGUAUGUUUUGCCCUUUUUUUAAUUCAUGAACUAAGAUAAAUGAUUGGCCAGCCGUAAUAAUGCGCACUACAUACAGUUUACUGUUUUCUUUCUGCAGAUUUCAAUAUGCCACGAGAAAUGAUUUGGAUAGACUUGCAAAGCUUUGUGCCGUGUGUGGAAACUUCCAGCCUGACCCCCCCCUGAGAUGCCGAGACUGCACACGUUCCUCGCUAUGAGCCGGAUAGAUGAGAUCUUGGUGUCUUGUCGGUGGUUUCAACAAACCCAUUUCCAUAUUUUGUUUCUGAAGAUCCCACAACCUGCGUUUGAAAAGGUUUAGUUGUCUCUGUGUUUAUUUUGUUACACGCAUUGAAUAUGAGAAAGAUACGGCCGCUUCGAAGCAGACUUUGCAAUGUUGUUUCUUUCUAUAGUGAAAGGGCUGUGAUUUGGAAAGAAGUUAAAGCAAAGCCA